UACAGAGGUCUCAAGCGUUGUUCGGAAUCACUGGGCGUAAAGGGUGCGUAGGCGGCACGUCAAGUCAGAUGUGAAAGACCGGAGCUCAACUCCGGAACUGCAUCCGAAACUGGCGAGCUAGAGGGCUCGAGGGGAGUGUGGAAUUCACGGUGUAGCAGUGAAAUGCGUAGAUAUCGUGAGGAACACCAGUGGCGAAGGCGACACUCUGGAGAGCAACUGACGCUGAGGCACGAAGGCCAGGGGAGCGAACGGG
This 253-nucleotide ribosomal RNA is filed under the name uncultured bacterium. RNAcentral describes it as "partial 16S ribosomal RNA". It matches the Rfam family "Bacterial small subunit ribosomal RNA", at positions 524 to 776 of the family's 1533-position model. The record is from RNAcentral.